GAUGAACGCUGGCGGCGUGCCUAAUACAUGCAAGUCGAGCGAACGGACGAGAAGCUUGCUUCUCUGAUGUUAGCGGCGGACGGGUGAGUAACACGUGGAUAACCUACCUAUAAGACUGGGAUAACUUCGGGAAACCGGAGCUAAUACCGGAUAAUAUUUUGAACCGCAUGGUUCAAAAGUGAAAGACGGUCUUGCUGUCACUUAUAGAUGGAUCCGCGCUGCAUUAGCUAGUUGGUAAGGUAACGGCUUACCAAGGCAACGAUGCAUAGCCGACCUGAGAGGGGGAUCGGCCACACUGGAACUGAGACACGGCCCAGACUCCUACGGGAGGCAGCAGUAGGGAAUCUGCCGCAAGGGGCGAAAGCCUGACGGAGCAACGCCGCGUGGGUGAUGAAGGUCUUCGGAUCGUAAAACUCUGUUAUUAGGGAAGAACAUAUGUGUAAGUAACGGUGCACAUCUUGACGGUACCGAAGCAGAAAGCCACGGCUAACUACGU
Molecule: ribosomal RNA, 496 nt
Filed under: uncultured bacterium
Lineage: Bacteria
Description: partial 16S ribosomal RNA
Rfam family: Bacterial small subunit ribosomal RNA
Source: RNAcentral